Molecule: non-coding RNA, 99 nt
Filed under: Arthrobacter sp.
Lineage: Bacteria; Bacillati; Actinomycetota; Actinomycetes; Micrococcales; Micrococcaceae
Description: TPP sequence
Rfam family: TPP riboswitch aptamer (THI element)
About the family: Vitamin B(1) in its active form thiamin pyrophosphate (TPP) is an essential coenzyme that is synthesised by coupling of pyrimidine and thiazole moieties in bacteria.
Source: RNAcentral
AGCAGUGACACGGGGUGUCCCUCCAAGGGAGGGGCUGAGAAGAGACCCGUCGAACCUGAUCCAGCUCAUACUGGCGAAGGGAUGUCCUGCCGGGCCCUC